Molecule: ribosomal RNA, 467 nt
Filed under: uncultured Myxococcales bacterium
Lineage: Bacteria; Pseudomonadati; Myxococcota; Myxococcia; Myxococcales
Description: bacterial SSU rRNA
Rfam family: Bacterial small subunit ribosomal RNA
Source: RNAcentral
UCCUACGGGGGGCAGCAGUGGGGAAUCUUGCGCAAUGGGCGAAAGCCUGACGCAGCGACGCCGCGUGAGUGAUGAAGGCCUUCGGGUUGUAAAGCUCUGUGGGGAGAGACGAAUAAGUGCAGGCUAAUACCCUGCAUGAUGACGGUAUCUCCUUAGCAAGCACCGGCUAACUCUGUGCCAGCAGCCGCGGUAAGACAGAGGGUGCAAACGUUGUUCGGAAUUACUGGGCGUAAAGCGAGUGUAGGCGGUUUUGUAAGUCGGGUGUGAAAGCCCUGGGCUCAACCCAGGAAGUGCACUCGAAACUGCAAGGCUAGAGUAUCGGAGAGGUUGGUGGAAUUCUCGGUGUAGAGGUGAAAUUCGUAGAUAUCGAGAGGAACACCGGUGGCGAAGGCGGCCAACUGGACGAAUACUGACGCUGAGACUCGAAAGCGUGGGGAGCAAACAGGAUUAGAUACCCCGGUAGUCCA